This 492-nucleotide ribosomal RNA is filed under the name uncultured bacterium. RNAcentral describes it as "partial 16S ribosomal RNA". It matches the Rfam family "Bacterial small subunit ribosomal RNA", at positions 29 to 507 of the family's 1533-position model. The record is from RNAcentral.
AGUGAACGCUGGCGGUAGGCCUAACACAUGCAAGUCGAACGGCAGCACAGUAAGAGCUUGCUCUUACGGGUGGCGAGUGGCGGACGGGUGAGGAAUACAUCGGAAUCUACUUUUUCGUGGGGGAUAACGUAGGGAAACUUACGCUAAUACCGCAUACGACCUACGGGUGAAAGCAGGGGAUCUUCGGACCUUGCGCGAUUGAAUGAGCCGAUGUCGGAUUAGCUAGUUGGCGGGGUAAAGGCCCACCAAGGCGACGAUCCGUAGCUGGUCUGAGAGGAUGAUCAGCGACACUGGAACUGAGACACGGUCCAGACUCCUACGGGAGGCAGCAGUGGGGAAUAUUGGACAAUGGGCGCAGGCCUGAUCCAGCCAUACCGCGUGGGUGAAGAAGGCCUUCGGGUUGUAAAGCCCUUUUGUUGGGAAAGAAAAGCAGCAGGUUAAUACCCCGCUGUUCUGACGGUACCCAAAGAAUAAGCACCGGCUAACUUCGUG